This is a long non-coding RNA of Nymphalis io (European peacock), 207 nucleotides long. RefSeq lists it as uncharacterized. Lineage: Eukaryota; Metazoa; Arthropoda; Insecta; Lepidoptera; Nymphalidae. The record is from RefSeq and is a predicted model, not a curated record. The transcript has 3 exons.
ACAAGUGCGUGUGUGACGACCUGGUGUUCCUCGAAGACCCAAAUGACCCUAGAGGCUGUAUAUACUUUCAGGCAUCCGUGCAUGUCCUGAGACACUCCACGGCCAUCUACCCAGGGUUCCAGUGCUCUGUGCAUGUCGGGAACGUGCGUCAGACGGCCAUUAUCGAGGGUAUAAUGUCUCCGAGCAACUUGCUGAGGGCGGGCGAGG